AGCGCAGGCGGUUCGGUAAGUCAUUGGUGAAAUUCUCAGGCUCAACCUGGGGGCUGCCAAUGAUACUACCGAUCUUGAGUGUGGAAGAGGUAGAUGGAAUUCCUGGUGUAGCGGUGAAAUGCGUAGAUAUCAGGAAGAACACCGAUGGCGAAGGCAGUCUACUGGUCCAUUACUGACGCUCAUGCUCGAAAGCGUGGGGAUCAAACAGGAUUAGAUACCCUGGUAGUCCACGCCCUAAACGAUGGAUACUCGAUGUCGUGCCGCAAGGCUCGGUGUCUAAGCAAACGCAUUAAGUAUCCCACCUGGGAAGUACGAUCGCAAGGUUGAA
Molecule: ribosomal RNA, 328 nt
Filed under: uncultured bacterium
Lineage: Bacteria
Description: bacterial SSU rRNA
Rfam family: Bacterial small subunit ribosomal RNA
Source: RNAcentral